UACGUAGGGUGCAAGCGUUCUCCGGAAUUAUUGGGCGUAAAGAGCUCGUAGGCGGUUUGUCGCGUCUGCUGUGAAAACUGGAGGCUCAACCUCCAGCCUGCAGUGGGUACGGGCAGACUAGAGUGCGGUAGGGGAGAUUGGAAUUCCUGGUGUAGCGGUGGAAUGCGCAGAUAUCAGGAAGAACACCGAUGGCGAAGGCAGAUCUCUGGGCCGUAACUGACGCUGAGGAGCGAAAGCAUGGGGAGCGAACAGG
RNAcentral lists this ribosomal RNA (253 nucleotides) under uncultured bacterium. RNAcentral describes it as "partial 16S ribosomal RNA". It matches the Rfam family "Bacterial small subunit ribosomal RNA", at positions 524 to 776 of the family's 1533-position model. The record is from RNAcentral.